UAUUAUUGAGAACAGUUACUGCCAAGCAAG
RNAcentral lists this non-coding RNA (30 nucleotides) under Mus musculus (house mouse). The record is from RNAcentral. Lineage: Eukaryota; Metazoa; Chordata; Mammalia; Rodentia; Muridae.